RNAcentral lists this unclassified non-coding RNA (977 nucleotides) under Hevea brasiliensis (rubber tree). Lineage: Eukaryota; Viridiplantae; Streptophyta; Magnoliopsida; Malpighiales; Euphorbiaceae. The record is from RNAcentral.
GAAACAUGCCAUGAUAGAAACUUCUACCAUUCUACUUUAAUCCUAUGCAUAGCCUAUGUUUAACACCCUUUCUACUUGAAUCCAAUAGUGAACAUCCUUCCCUUUUCCCUCAUCUAUGUGUCUGAUAUAGCCUAGGUAUUGGAAACAUGUGCGUUGUGGUACUUCUAGGGCCUGUUCACUUGUGGAAAACCAAGAUAUUUUUCUGGACAAGUUUUCUAAGAAAAUUGGAGAACAAAGUUUCAUGUUCACAUUUAUUAGUUUUACACAAGUAGAACUGCAAGAUUUAAUCAUAUUGUUAUAAAGUAAAUGAAUAACACAAAUUAAAAGUUUUAAAAAUAAAAUAAGUUUUUAAAUAUAUUUGACAAUAAUUUAUUUUUUAAUUAUGGAAGAUACGAAUAAUUUUUUAUUUUUUUUGAAUUAGAAAAUCAUUUUCCAUUAUUUACAAGUAAACAUGUUUUCCAUAUUUUUCAUUGCUUUCUAUAAGAAAAUGAAAACUAAAGUUCUCUUAGAAAAUAGAAAAUAAAAAAUAGAAAACUGUUUUCCACAAAUAAACAGGCCCCUAAUGUCCAAACUUUUAUGUCACUUCUCUUUUCAAGGAUAAGAUUGCAACACAUAUUUAGUUCUACUUAGCCAAUGGAUUCGAAAGUGCUCCUUUACGACUCUAGUUUACUGUUAACUCCAAGUUGGGUCUAACAUCAUGCACUGAGUGAUAUUCACUUUGAUAUGAUUUAUCACUUUAUUCACAACAAAACAAAAGAUUGGAGCUCAAGAUUUUUCCCUAGGUUAGCCAAGCUAAGGAUGAGCAUUAUUAGGUGUACUAUCUUUUCUUGUUUUUUCUGUUGCAAGCAUAUUUGAAGUCCAUCUUUAGGUAAGUGUCCAGCGUUACUUUUGGCCCAAAAUAAAAAGUUAUUCAGUGGCUUUUCUAUUAUCUACAUUUUUGCUGGUUCUGUUAUAGGUCAAGCUGAGAUGUGGAUUGA